Molecule: non-coding RNA, 73 nt
Organism: Cervus elaphus (red deer)
Lineage: Eukaryota; Metazoa; Chordata; Mammalia; Artiodactyla; Cervidae
Source: the annotation of a RefSeq genome assembly
UCCCAGGUGGCCCAGUGGUUAAGGCUCUGUGCUUCCAAUGCAGGGGGCCCAGGUUCGAUCCCUGGUUGAGGAA